UGGGGAAUUUUGCACAAUGGGGGAAACCCUGAUGCAGCGACGCCGCGUGAUUUAGAAGGCCUUCGGGUUGUAAAAAUCUUUUUUACGGGAUGAAAAUGACAGUACCGUAAGAAUAAGGUCCGUCUAAAUACGUGCCAGCAGCCGCGGUAAUACGUAUGGACCGAGCGUUGUCCGGAAUCAUUGGGCGUAAAUGGUACGUAGGCGGCCUAGUAAGUUAGAAGUGAAAUAAUAUAGCUCAACUAUAUAAAGCUUUUAAAACUGCUAGGCUUGAGAGAUGGAAGGGAAAGUGGAAUUCCUAGUGUAGCGGUGAAAUGCGCAGAUAUUAGGAAGAAUACCGGUGGCGAAGGCGACUUUCUGGUCAUCAUCUGACGCUGAGGUACGAAAGCGUGGGUAGCAAACAGG
Molecule: ribosomal RNA, 402 nt
Filed under: bacterium
Lineage: Bacteria
Description: partial 16S ribosomal RNA
Rfam family: Bacterial small subunit ribosomal RNA
Source: RNAcentral